CACGCACGCACGCACACACACACACGCACACACGCACACACACACACACACACUUUUAAGUGCCACACGCAGACACCACAUACGGGGACACAAUUCUCACCACAUUUGCAAAAAAAUUAAUUAAUUAAUUAAAAAAAAACACCCCAAAGCCUGCCAACAAAAGUACAAUACAACUGCAUAUCACUGGUAUAUGUGUAAACUCAUCCACGCACCAGUUUCAGGCCAGGCAGCAGUGUAUCGGGCCCCCUAUGGAGGCCGAGCUCUGUGCCGUUUCGUGUGGCGAUAUGCAAAGACAGGCAUGCUCGAAGCAGAUACGUAAACCAGCUGCCCGCCAGCGGCCUGCCUGAGGGGCGAGGUGUUUGCGCCAGGGCUCCGGGACCUCCAUGCACGUCGCUGGCACAAGAACCAAUGGGCAACGUCGGAAGAAGUCGACCGUCAUUGUGACUGGAGGACCUUCUAGGGAACUGCUCAUGUGCCAAGGCAACAAACAGCCUAUGCCCUGAUCAGCUCUGGCACUGGGUAGGAGAAAAGGUGGGAGGACCAGAGUAAGCAAAGUUCCAGAGGCAAGCGCACAGAGGGAAAACGAGACACGCUACCUACUCCAAGACACUCUCUCCUAUGUCCCACCCUUGUCAUACGCCCAUUAGGCUUACAGUGGAACGGGUCACUGUCUUCUUGCUCCUUGCCAUCAUGCUUCUGUACAAGUGCAGAAUGUGAAUGACUCAAAAACAGCCCUCAGAGGACAAUGUCAGUCAAAGAUGUCUCAGCUGUGCACGCAAAUGUAGGCUUGAAACCCACUUGCAAAAAAAAAAACAAAGAAAAACCCAACAAUUUUUAAAGAAAGAAAAAAUCAAGAUAGCAACCUGCCAAGAUGCUGCUCUGCAAUGUUUAACCAGCCAGCGCAGUUCUUAAGAAGGAGACCAUGUGGACCUCAGCUGUCGGAUGCGCUCUGAACAUGGCUGCACCUUUGCUCCUGGUGGGAGACGCAGGCAAGGCCAGGAAGAAGCUAGUUAAGGCUGGCUGUUGGUCGAGUCUUCUGCCUGCGGUUCCGACGCUGUUGCCCAAUUAAACGUAUCCAUGACGGUAAGCCCCCGUGUUGAGCCAAGCCCGGCGAAUGGCUUCCAAUACCAGGAUAUGGAAAACUGCCCUGGAGUUUACUUGUUUACAGACUACAAGGGACAAGAGCUCAUCUAUGAAGCACACACCACUUGGGACCAGCUGUGACCAAAUUCAAUUGAAGCUGUAUUAAAAGUAAUACACACUGCACAGAGUUAAUAUCUCUCACACAUUUUUCACCCGCUUUCUUUGUACUUGUUCACUAAAUGUGUGGGUACUUCCCUACCUAUUUUUCCAACAUUGCCAUUACAUUCACAGGCAAUUGACCAAUUCAAAACUUUUUACUUUACAUUCAGCAUCCUUAAAGUAAAUAUAAACAUAAUUAGAAGUUUAUUUAGGCAAAAUCGCUCAUUUCUUGAUUUAGAAACACUUUCAUCAUUCAAGAUGUUUCUGUCAUUGCAGAAGCUUCUAUAGGAUAGCAACUAUAAAUACUUUGCCAGUAAAAUAUUUUUCAAGCGUCUUGAUCCUCAAGCCUUGGUUGUGGACAUGGUAGAGACAUACUCAUGAAACAUGAGUGCAUCAGUCACCAAACAACAUGAAAAUGCUUUUUUCAGCAUUUGCUGAUAGUUAAGAGAAUGCCUUAAAUAAAGCCUGACUGAUAAUAAAUAAAUAAAUAAAAUGUUAAACAAUCAUAUUGCGUAUUAGCACAAGUAUUAAAAGAUGCAAAAAUGUUUUACAAAAACAUCUGUUAUGAAACAUGGAACAAGACUGGAGUCAGAGUGUGUGAAGAAGAAAACUAAAUGUGAUUUUAGUUAAAGACUAACAAAAAAACAAAAACAAACAACAAGCCCGAUAACAUUAUCAGGGCACAUAUAAUAGAUUAUGACACAGCAGGACAUUUGCUGACGUUUGUAUUAUAACUUAAGACUUCAACUCUUAUCAAGAAUCACCAAUGUUCUCUGAUUACCAUGGUCACGGAAACAGCAAAAUAUGAGUCUUGGAAUGUGCCAUUAUCGCUUAGAAUAAGCACCCCGCCCAAAAAAGAAAAAACAAAAUAAAACAAAACAAAAACAAUUCGGAAAGAUAAGAUUCGUUCUAAGAGUAUUUCCAGAGAUUACAUCAGGUGAAUAGGUAUAGUGUGAAACAUCUAUGGGCAGCCAUUGAUAAGCCCCCAUUCACAUUUCCAAGUACCAACGAUUCUGUAUUCAUUGAGAGUGCGUUUCAUUGAGAAAUAUUAAUAAGUAGCAAGCUCUCUGGAUAUCAGGAUUUCUCGAUUUAGACACAGAAAAUGUUACCUAGGCUCGAGCGUGCCGUAUUAAAAUUAGGUUGUGAAGUAACCAGUGCACCCCUUCCAUACCAAAGGGAUGCAGCAAAGCGGAGCCAAGCCCAUGCGCGCUACCGCGUCGGAAAAAAUACAGGUACUAUACUGAGGAAGCAUAGCAACAAACUGUAAGUAGACGACCAUAGCAACUGCAAUGCAAUAAAAAUAAACUAGCGAAUUACUGAACAUCAA
This is a non-coding RNA of Electrophorus electricus (electric eel), 2569 nucleotides long. The record is from RefSeq and is a predicted model, not a curated record. Lineage: Eukaryota; Metazoa; Chordata; Actinopteri; Gymnotiformes; Gymnotidae.